GACGGAGGGUGCUAGCGUUGUUCGGAAUCACUGGGCGUAAAGGGCGCGUAGGCGGCCUCAGGUGUCGGAUGUGGAAGCCCGGGGCUCAACCCCGGAGGUGCAUCCGAAACUCUGGGGCUGGAGGUCGGAAGAGGAGGGUGGAAUACCCAGUGUAGAGGUGAAAUUCGUAGAUAUUGGGUGGAACACCGGUGGCGAAAGCGGCUCUCUGGUCCGGACCUGACGCUGAGGCGCGAAAGCGUGGGGAGCAAACAGG
RNAcentral lists this ribosomal RNA (253 nucleotides) under uncultured bacterium. RNAcentral describes it as "partial 16S ribosomal RNA". It matches the Rfam family "Bacterial small subunit ribosomal RNA", at positions 524 to 776 of the family's 1533-position model. The record is from RNAcentral.